This is a long non-coding RNA of Saccostrea cuccullata (small rock oyster), 213 nucleotides long. RefSeq lists it as uncharacterized. Lineage: Eukaryota; Metazoa; Mollusca; Bivalvia; Ostreida; Ostreidae. The record is from RefSeq and is a predicted model, not a curated record. The transcript is spliced from 3 exons.
GUAACUUGAGUUCAGUGUCACAGUGCUGCGUCUAAAAAGCCCAAAGCUGAUAAGACUGGCGAUUGAUCCUAAAGCUGAUUUGACAGAUGAUUGCAUCAUCACAAUAUUAAAGGUUCAAUAUACAGUCAGCGUCUCAUAAGAAUAUAUCCCAAGAUCCAAGACUUGCUUAAAAGUUUAAUUAAGAGACCAUUCUGUGCCACAAAGAAAUUGUUC